CCCCUAGUAACUGCGAGUGAAGCGGGAAAAGCUCAAAUUUAAAAUCUGGCGGUCUUUGGCCGUCCGAGUUGUAGUCUGGAGAAGUGCUUUCCGCGCUGGACCGUGUAUAAGUCUCUUGGAACAGAGCGUCAUAGAGGGUGAGAAUCCCGUCUUUGACACGGACUACCAGUGCUUUGUGAUGCGCUCUCAAAGAGUCGAGUUGUUUGGGAAUGCAGCUCAAAAUGGGUGGUGAAUUCCAUCUAAAGCUAAAUAUUGGCGAGAGACCGAUAGCGAACAAGUACCGUGAGGGAAAGAUGAAAAGCACUUUGGAAAGAGAGUUAAACAGUACGUGAAAUUGCUGAAAGGGAAACGCUUGAAGUCAGUCGCGUUGUCCGGGACUCAGCCUUGCUUUCGCUUGGCGCACUUUCCGGAUGACGGGCCAGCAUCGAUUUUGACCGUCGGAAAAGGGCUAGGGUAAUGUGGCACCUCCGGGUGUGUUAUAGACCUUAGUCGCAUACGGCGGUCGGGAUCGAGGAACGCAGCGCGCCGUAAGGCAGGGGUUCGCCCACAUUCGCGCUUAGGAUGCUGGCGUAAUGGCUUUAAACGACCCGUCUUGAAACACGGACCAAGGAGUCUAACAUGCCUGCGAGUGUUUGGGUGGUAAACCCGAGCGCGUAAUGAAAGUGAAAGUUGAGACCUCUGUCGUGGAGGGCAUCGACGCCCGGACCUGACGUUCUCUGACGGAUCCGCGGUAGAGCAUGCAUGUUGGGACCCGAAAGAUGGUGAACUAUGCCUGAAUAGGGUGAAGCCAGAGGAAACUCUGGUGGAGGCUCGUAGCGAUUCUGACGUGCAAAUCGAUCGUCAAAUUUGGGUAUAGGGGCGAAAGACUAAUCGAA
RNAcentral lists this ribosomal RNA (875 nucleotides) under Sanguinoderma perplexum. Its description in RNAcentral is "Amauroderma perplexum partial 28S ribosomal RNA". It matches the Rfam family "Eukaryotic large subunit ribosomal RNA", at positions 77 to 939 of the family's 3401-position model. The record is from RNAcentral. Lineage: Eukaryota; Fungi; Basidiomycota; Agaricomycetes; Polyporales; Polyporaceae.